GACGAACGCUGGCGGCGUGCUUAACACAUGCAAGUCGAACGGAAAGGCCCUGCUUUUGUGGGGUGCUCGAGUGGCGAACGGGUGAGUAACACGUGAGUAACCUGCCCUUGACUUUGGGAUAACUUCAGGAAACUGGGGCUAAUACCGGAUAGGAGCUCCUGCUGCAUGGUGGGGGUUGGAAAGUUUCGGCGGUUGGGGAUGGACUCGCGGCUUAUCAGCUUGUUGGUGGGGUAGUGGCUUACCAAGGCUUUGACGGGUAGCCGGCCUGAGAGGGUGACCGGCCACAUUGGGACUGAGAUACGGCCCAGACUCCUACGGGAGGGAGCAGUGGGGAAUAUUGCACAAUGGGCGGAAGGCUGAUGCAGCAACGCCGCGUGCGGGAUGACGGCCUUCGGGUUGUAAACCGCUUUCGCCUGUGACGAAGCGUGAGUGACGGUAAUGGGGAAAGAAGCACCGGCUAACUACGUG
This 468-nucleotide ribosomal RNA is filed under the name uncultured bacterium. RNAcentral's name for it is "partial 16S ribosomal RNA". It matches the Rfam family "Bacterial small subunit ribosomal RNA", at positions 28 to 507 of the family's 1533-position model. The record is from RNAcentral.